UGAGCCAGGCUAAGAUUCGAUAUUGGGAUAAAACUCAAAUAUUAGAAAUCCAAAUCUUUGGUCAAGACAGAAGUGCCUCUCCCGUGCCAAGGUGCUGAAAUGACAAACGGUAUUUGACGUAGGUACAGAAUUGUAGAAGGGCAAACUGACCCUAAACAGAUACAUUCUGUUGUUUAAUGUUUAUUGCAUCCCAAAUGUCAUGCAUAUCCCUGGAUAACGGGUGCUGCUUCCUUAUUGCCCUUGAGGCGUCUUCUAGCCUCUUAUCUCCUUUUGUAAUGUCUUGAGCUCCGGAGCUGAAAGCCUGAGCCUGUGGGAACCAUGCUGUUAUGUCUUUCCUAGAGAUAGAUUAAAGGGUAACUUCUACGUGUGAAAUGUUGUACUCUUCGUAAUAACUUUGUCUUUAUACUGUAUAAAUAUCUGGUUGAAAUCAUCCAUCUUUGUUCAAACUUUUGGGGUCUUCGGACUGUUUGAACCUUUGCGCAAAUAAAAACUCUUUCCUGCACUGAAGAGCUUGUCCUAGUCCGUCAUUUUUCCUACAACAGCUGGCGACGCCGCCGGGACUGGGUACAAGGCGAUAUUUCGCUGAGGACCGUUUUGACCCCUCGGGACCAUCGGGAGGUCGCUCCUGAACAUUCUCCAGGCGCCACAGAGAUACAUCUCUGGGAGACAGCCGCGAUAACCCGGUGGGCCCGACGGUGCUCUGAUCGAGUCCAAGAACCCUGCGGUACAGGAAAGGUGGUCUGAACAAAUUCCUGGCCAGGAAUCUACGGAGUGGGAGCGUUUUAAGUAAGUAUAUUGUAAAAGAAUUGUACCUGCUUCAUUUGAAAGCAGAAGGAGGGAAUUGAUCACUCCCUCGGACUCGGGGUAGGCUACCCUAAUGAAGUCCAUGUCAGGUUGUGUGGGUGGUUAAACCGUCGCAUUUCUCAUUAGUGGCUGUGAGUUUCCGGGGCUAUGAGUCGACGGCAGUGUGGUAGAAGGGAUGGGGUUCAGAGCGUGCCAAAUACUCCGUUGGCAUGCAUGUUAAAAGGUUUUGACAAGUAUUUUAGCAACCCUUCCUAUCUGAAAGGAUCAAAGGAUCAAUUAAAAUUCUUAUGUAAAUAUGUGUGGCCACAAAGGGAGAUGGGCUGACCCCCUCCCCCUCAGGGAUGGUUAAAGGAAGAAACAGUGGAUAAGUUGUGGGGAGUGAUUGUAGUGAAUCAGGAUAAAUAUCCUGAUCAAUUUCAAUAUAUUGAUCAAUGGGUGAGAGCCCUGUUGAAAAAAGCUGAGGAUUUAUUGCAAUGUAGGGCUGAAACAGUCGGGUUAUGUGUAUCUGAGCAGGCAGGAAAAGUAAGGGGGCUGCUGGAGGGAGUGGAGGAGGAAAUCAGAGGCGUAUGAGUGAUCCUGGCGUGAAGUCAAAAGUCAGGGGGAGUCAUUCGCCUAGAGGUAGCAGUCAGAGUGAGGGAGGGGAUGAUGAUGAGGAGGAGGAGGAGGAGGAAGAGGAGGAAGAUUUGGAGGCUGUGGGGGCUGUAGGUGGAGAAGAAAGAGCAGGAGGCACGGAUGAAUAAAAAGGCUAGUUUGUUGGUAGGAGAACUGCGAAGUGGGAUGCAAGGGGGUUUUUCUCCCCCCCCUUCCUUUGAAGGGGAGAAAGAGGAAAAGAGAUGCUUUUAAAACUUUUUUUCUCCUUUCUGGUGUUUGUCUUGUUUUUUUAACAAAAUAGGCUGUACACCGCCCUGAGUCUUUUGGGAGAAGGGUGGUAUAGAAAUAAAAUUAUUUGGGAAAAAGGAAUUACUUGGGAAAAGGAAUGCCCAAGACAGAUGGUGAGAAGUUGAGGGAUGAGAAGAGCGGAUUUUGGGUCAGGGAUGCGUGGGCAGUUUGCAGGAAGAAGGGGAGAGUAUUGGAUUGGCAGACAUGGUGUGGUCAGAUUGAAGGGGACCAGGCUUGGGAGAACCCCCGCCUGAGCCGUUGGUUACAAUGAGGAUAGGGGGCCAGCAGACAACAUUUUUAGUGGAUACAGGAGCAGGUAGAUCAGUUGUAAAUAAGCAAAUUGCAGCUCCUGGAUCACGUAAAAUCCAGGUCCAGGGGGUAUCAGGGCAAGCCAUGGGGCGGCAGGUCUUGAAAUCAGAGAUGUGUGAUUUUAAGGAAGCUGAAAUCCAGCAUGAAUUUUUGUACAUUCCUGAGUGCCCUAUUCCAUUGCUAGGCAGGGAUAUGCUGAGCAAAUUAGGGGCAACAAUUUCUUUUGAUGAAGAUAGUCAGAGAAUGACCACAAGGCAUUCUCCGGAGAAGAUUUGGAGGUUGUUUGAUGUGCGCUGAGGAUAACCUGCCGGGUUUUGCAGCUCGCCACCCUCCAGUGGGGGUGGAACUAAAACCUGGAGUGGAGUCUGUUACCUUGAUGUAUAUCUGCUGAUGUAACCCGCUGUAAGCUAAAAAGAGGAUGGAGCACCUGCUCUCUUGGAUUGGUCCGGAACUUGGAUCCUGACAAGAGAUUGGAGAUCAUUGCGGAUCCAUGUGGGAGGCAAAUUGGGUGUGGGCACUUUGAGUAAUUGGGGUAGUAGCUUUAUUGAUUAUUGUGUUUUACAGAUAUAAGCAAUGGUUUUGUGGACAACCAGGGCCCAUUUGAUUUCUCAGUCGUUCCGAUUCCUAAUAUUUCCCCAACCGGCUGCGGUGUGUGACCCUCUUACAGAUGAAAGAAGUCCCUGCUUAGGACACCCUGGAAGCUGCCUUUUGAUGCAAAAGAACGGAAAAGAGAAUUUUCUUUAAAUGUGUUGGUUUUGUAAUUGUGGGUGUGAGUGUUGUUGUUGCACUCACUGUAUUGAUUGUGUUUUAUGUAUAAGCUGUAAGGUAGAGUGGGACGUGAAAAUUAUAGAGGAGGUGCUAGUAUAUUAUUUGGUAAUAAAUCCUGAACCCUUGUAAUAUUAUCUGAAAUGGAAAAGCUGCAUAUACCUGAAAUUCCUAGUCAUGUAACAAAUACCUUUGUCAAAUUAGCUGAAGACAUAGCCCACACUCUGAAUGUAUCGAAUUGUUUUGUUGGUGGAGGAACUAACAUGGGAGAAAAAUGGCCGUGGGAAGCUCAAGGAAUUAAAUUAUUCCAAAAUAUUAGAAAUGGAUCAGAAAGGUAAUCUGUCAUAUAAUAAGGGUAAGGAUGGAGACUGGACCUUGACUACUAGUCUGGUAGGGAAUGUUUGUUUUUGGAGAAAAAUUGUGCCAGGCUGUCAUCAGGUGGGAAACCUCAUAUGUACAGGAAAAUGGGAAAGUAAGGUAUGGUGGUCAGGAGCUAAUGCCACAGAGGGAACUGAUGAAAGGGCCCUGUUUAAAGUAAACGGGUUAUCCUUUUUAAAGGAUCCAGAUAAUCAGACCCUUGAAUGGCUGGCUCCUGAUGGACUAUACUGGAUAUGUGGUAAGAUGGCAUAUGGGGUUCUACCAAAAUCUUGGUGUGGAGCUUGGGUCCUGGGAAUAAUUGGACCAGGAUUUUUUUUUUUUUUGCUUCCCCUUAAAACCCGACAGGUGUUAGGUGUCCCGGUAUAUGAUGAGGUGGGAAAUUUAAGACAGAGAAGACAUGUAGAUACAUCAGCAAUAAGGAAAGUUAGGGUUGGAGGUAACCAACGUAGUUGGGGAAGUGAAGAAUGGCCUGCAGAACGAAUUAUUGAGGUUUAUGGACCGGCUACAUGGGCGGAAGAUGGCAUGUAUGGCUAUUGGACCCCUAUAUACAUUCUGAACCGUUUAAUUCGUCUGCAAGUUGUGGUUGAAAUCAUCACCAACGAAACUGUAAAAGGUCUUACUCAAUUAGCUAGGGAAGGUGUCAAAUCAAGGACAUAUAUUAUGCAGAAUAGGUUAGCUUUAGAUUAUUUGUUAGCCAAGGAAGGAGGGGUAUGUGGACUAAUUGCUGUAUAGAAGUUGAUGAAAGCGGAAAGGUUAUUAAGGAAAUAACAGACAAAAUGGUUAAAAUAGCUCAUGUGUCAGUCCAGACUUGGAAAGGCCUUAAUUUACAGGAUAUGUUUUCAGGAUGGUGGCCAAAGUUACCUGGCCUGCAGGCCAUCUUUGGCCUGGUAGGAUUAAUAGCUGCAAGGGUGUCUUUUUCUCCCGUGUAUUUUACCUCUGUUUGUUAAACUCUCUCUAAAAGUCUAUCCUUGCUGGUGGAACGUAAGACAACUGCUCAGGUGAUGGCUACGUGGGAUUACAAACGGCUCCAGCAGGAAGAGGACCUAUGGUGUGACUCGUCUGGAUAAACAGAUGAGUCACAAAGGGGGGUAUGAGCCAGGCUAAGAUUCGAUAUUGGGAUAAAACUCAAAUAUUAGAAAUCCAAAUCUUUGGUCAAGACAGAAGUGCCUCUCCCGUGCCAAGGUGCUGAAAUGACAAACGGUAUUUGACGUAGGUACAGAAUUGUAGAAGGGCAAACUGACCCUAAACAGAUACAUUCUGUUGUUUAAUGUUUAUUGCAUCCCAAAUGUCAUGCAUAUCCCUGGAUAACGGGUGCUGCUUCCUUAUUGCCCUUGAGGCGUCUUCUAGCCUCUUAUCUCCUUUUGUAAUGUCUUGAGCUCCGGAGCUGAAAGCCUGAGCCUGUGGGAACCAUGCUGUUAUGUCUUUCCUAGAGAUAGAUUAAAGGGUAACUUCUACGUGUGAAAUGUUGUACUCUUCGUAAUAACUUUGUCUUUAUACUGUAUAAAUAUCUGGUUGAAAUCAUCCAUCUUUGUUCAAACUUUUGGGGUCUUCGGACUGUUUGAACCUUUGCGCAAAUAAAAACUCUUUCCUGCACUGAA
Molecule: long non-coding RNA, 4733 nt
Organism: Pantherophis guttatus
Lineage: Eukaryota; Metazoa; Chordata; Lepidosauria; Squamata; Colubridae
Source: RefSeq, a predicted model, not a curated record